AGUGAACGCUGGCGGUAGGCCUAACACAUGCAAGUCGAACGGCAGCACAGUAAGAGCUUGCUCUUACGGGUGGCGAGUGGCGGACGGGUGAGGAAUACAUCGGAAUCUACUUUUUCGUGGGGGAUAACGUAGGGAAACUUACGCUAAUACCGCAUACGACCUACGGGUGAAAGCAGGGGAUCUUCGGACCUUGCGCGAUUGAAUGAGCCGAUGUCGGAUUAGCUAGUUGGCGGGGUAAAGGCCCACCAAGGCGACGAUCCGUAGCUGGUCUGAGAGGAUGAUCAGCCACAUUGGAACUUAGCCACGGUCCAGACUCCUACGGGAGGCAGCAGUGGGGAAUAUUGGACAAUGGGCGCAAGCAUGAUCCAGCCAUACCGCGUGGGUGAAGAAGGCCUUCGGGUUGUAAAGACCUUUUGUUGGGAAAGAAAAGCAGCAGGUUAAUACCCCGCUGUUCUGACGGUACCCAAAGAAUAAGCACCGGCUAACUUCGUG
RNAcentral lists this ribosomal RNA (492 nucleotides) under uncultured bacterium. RNAcentral's name for it is "partial 16S ribosomal RNA". It matches the Rfam family "Bacterial small subunit ribosomal RNA", at positions 29 to 507 of the family's 1533-position model. The record is from RNAcentral.